AGCAGAAUAGUUCAGUUGGAUACCUUCGAGUUAGAGCAUCUCACAUGUAAUGAGAAGGUUGCAGGUUCAAAUCCUGCUUCAGCCA
Non-coding RNA from Mycena vulgaris, 85 nucleotides. The record is from the annotation of a GenBank genome assembly. Lineage: Eukaryota; Fungi; Basidiomycota; Agaricomycetes; Agaricales; Mycenaceae.